UUCAGUUGGGCACUCUAGCGAGACUGCCGGUAAUAAACCGGAGGAAGUGGGGAUGACGUCAAGUCCUCAUGGCCCUUAUGGUAGGGCUUCACACGUAAUACAAUGGUCGGUACAGAGGGUUGCCAACCCGCGAGGGGAGCCAAUCCCAGAAAACCGAUCGUAGUCCGGAUUGCAGUCUGCAACUCGACUGCAUGAAGUCGGAAUCGCUAGUAAUCGCGGAUCAGCAUGUCGCGGUGAAUACGUUCCCGGGCCUU
Molecule: ribosomal RNA, 254 nt
Filed under: uncultured Limnobacter sp.
Lineage: Bacteria; Pseudomonadati; Pseudomonadota; Betaproteobacteria; Burkholderiales; Burkholderiaceae
Description: partial 16S ribosomal RNA
Rfam family: Bacterial small subunit ribosomal RNA
Source: RNAcentral